Non-coding RNA from Galeopterus variegatus (Sunda flying lemur), 74 nucleotides. The record is from the annotation of a RefSeq genome assembly. Lineage: Eukaryota; Metazoa; Chordata; Mammalia; Dermoptera; Cynocephalidae.
GGCUGGUUAGCUCAGCUGGUUAGAGUGUGGUGUUGAUACCACCAAGGUCCAGGAUUCAAUCCCUGGACCAGCCC